Molecule: ribosomal RNA, 123 nt
Filed under: Clostridioides difficile
Lineage: Bacteria; Bacillati; Bacillota; Clostridia; Peptostreptococcales; Peptostreptococcaceae
Description: partial 23S ribosomal RNA
Rfam family: Bacterial large subunit ribosomal RNA
Source: RNAcentral
UCAAGAUAAGAUUUCCCACCGCAAGGGUAAGACCCCAGACAGACUAUCUGGUUGAUAGGUCGAAGGUGUAAGUGCAGCAAUGUAUUUAGCUUAUCGAUACUAAUAGGUCGAGGACUUGACCAA